RNAcentral lists this unclassified non-coding RNA (212 nucleotides) under plant metagenome. RNAcentral describes it as "partial contains small subunit ribosomal RNA and internal transcribed spacer 1". The stretch from base 1 to 46 matches the Rfam family "Eukaryotic small subunit ribosomal RNA", at positions 1786 to 1831 of the family's 1831-position model. The record is from RNAcentral.
AAGUCGUAACAAGGUUUCCGUAGGUGAACCUGCGGAAGGAUCAUUAUCGAAAAUAAAGGGUUGUCUGCUGGCCUCUCGGGGCGCGUGCACGCCCAAAUCCACAACACACCUGUGAACCCACCGUAGGCCCUCGGGCUUAUGUAUUAUCAUAUACUCCCAGAUAUGACGAAUUGAAAAUGCUUUUGCAUUUAAAAACCAGCCAUGAAAUACAA